GUUCGUGUGGUUGGUGCCCUUUUUCUGCGGGCCAGGCGACGUCGUCAGUUCGGCGCCUCCGUUCUCGCCUCCCUCCUACCAAGACAAGUGACAGUCUAAUUAUUUGCUGGGUUUCAAUUACUCGGUUCAAAGAGAAAUAGUGUCUGUUUGUUAGAAGGGACCUGCAGAAACAAGAAAGACUAACUUGAAUAGAAAACUGUUUCACUGAAGAAAAUCUAGAAAUACUACAAAAUUACAAUGAGUGAGUUUCGGUUUAAGAUUCAGUCGUUUUCCGCAUCCAAAACACACUAUUGUUUACAUUCACACUUUAAUCGCAAGUGAAUUUUGCGAAUGUGAGAGGAAUAGUUGGGCUCGUUGUCCAAAAUGAUUCCCAAAGCACAGAACUACAGCAGGAAUCGGCGUGCUGCCAGCCCCAGGCCGAAGGUUCCGGGAUUUCUUGCCCACUAUUGCCCACACAAUGCCCAUAAACUUAUCCUCCUUGCUUGCUUCAAUGAUUCUCUAGACAGUGGAAGAGCCUCCAGCGGUGUUCUUCUGAAUAUUGGGAGAUGUUGCAACAGGAAUUAACUGAAGUUGAUUUUGGGAAAAGACAUUUUUUAGGUGGAUUAUACGAAAAGUUAAUCAACAAAUAGUUAUUUUCGACUAUAUUUUAUUUGGAGAUGCAGCCACGUUUAAUAAAACUGGUUGUAUUAACAGACAUCAUUUUUAUCAAAUAAUCCAUAUCACAUACAUAAUCAAAAUAGAUAGUUGUUGAAUGUCUAGUAGGACAAUAUUUUUUUGGAAAUUGUAUUGAACGAACAAUUUCUUGGUUAAAGGAUCGGAGCAAAUGGUCCAGUACAGUGGCCACCAACAUCACCAGAUUUCAAUACAAUGGACUCGUUUUUCUGGGGUCACAUUAAUAAUGGAAUGUGAAAAAUAUCUUCAACAACAUACGGGAUUAAUUCCGAAAUGUUUCUAUAGAAAUGCUUCGUAAUAUGAUUAACUCUCAAUUAUCGCUUUCAAUCAUGCACAGAUGUCUUUGAAGGACAUUUUGAACACACAUUGUGAUAACCAAAAGGUGUACUGUAUACUGCAGUAGAUAGGAUAGUUUUUUAAUAUUUUGUUCAUUUAAUUUCUUUGUAAUAUACUCGUUUUUACUUUG
Molecule: long non-coding RNA, 1138 nt
Organism: Diorhabda sublineata
Lineage: Eukaryota; Metazoa; Arthropoda; Insecta; Coleoptera; Chrysomelidae
Exons: 2
Source: RefSeq, a predicted model, not a curated record